RNAcentral lists this non-coding RNA (17 nucleotides) under Mus musculus (house mouse). Lineage: Eukaryota; Metazoa; Chordata; Mammalia; Rodentia; Muridae. The record is from RNAcentral.
UUUGAUGCAGCUCCAUG